UCGUCCUCGCAACAGAGGUCGUUGGUAAAAAAUGGCGUGGGCAAGUAGGGCAAUAUGGUUUCUUCUUCUUCACGUUAGGCUUUCUAUCUUUACCACUCAUGGGUUACUUGGAGAGAAAGUCAUGAAGAAACCUUUACAGAAUCAGAUGCCUUCUUCCUCUUGGAUACGCUGUUUUUCUCUUGCCCUUUGCCUAUGAGUCUCCUCGAUGGCUUCUCGUCAAAGGACUUAACAAAGAAGCCAUGGUGGUCUUGAAGAAACUCGCGAGGCGCAAUGGGAAACAACUUCCAGCUGAUCUAAGCCUAGUCGAUCCGAUUCAAGGAAGAGAUGAUCCAACUUUCUCGUCGUCUGAGAACUUUUGGAGGACUAAAUGGGCAGUAAAGAGGAUCGUAAUGGUGAUGAUGGCUGGAUUUGGCACUGGUUUUGUUUACUAUGGAAUCCAACUAAACGCUGAGAAUCUCAACUUCAAUCUUUACUUAACUGUUGCGGUGAACGCUCUGAUGGAGUUUCCAGCGAUUUUCAUCGGAAGUUUCCUCCUCGGCGUCAUGAACCGUCGUCCGUUGUUCUCCAACUCAUCAUACCUAGCUGGAAUAUGUUGCUUACUCUGUGCGGUUCUCUCGCUCCACCGUGUGACCCGUGCACUACCCGUUUCCAAAUGGCUGCAGCUAGCAGUUGAGGCAAUCGGAUUCAUGGCGUCCUCAACGGCCUACGAUGUCCUAUAUGUCUAUGGCGUCGAGCUGUUCCCGACAAACGUGAGGAACUUUGCGGUUUCGCUCUUGCGUCAAGCGUUCAUGCUAGGAGCGUCUGCAGCACCGUUGCUAGUUGCAUUGGGAAGAGAAAGCGCGAUGAUGUCUUUCAUUGUGUUUGGUGUUGCGUCUGUGUUGAGCGGCGUGGUGAGUAUCUGGCUAAGGGAAACAAGAAACGCUCCACUUUAUGAAACACUGACGCAGCAGGGGAAGGCUGAAGAGAUGGAAAACGAAAUAGAACACUCUUAAUCACUAGUACUGUUCCUUUCUGCGUUGUAUGUCCAAUGAUUGGAAACAUGUAAAAACCUUUCGGUUUUCCACUAAAUUGUAUGAAACGUUGAUUGUUUAUUUUGAAAAAGUCCUAAAAAUCGAUUUGGGCGGUGACUAAUCAUCUCCUUAAUCCGCAAAAUGGUACUAGCCAAUAAUUUUAUCUAAUUUAUUCGACUCACACUAAUUUAAAUCAUUAUAAAUCCAUUUAAUUGUUUUAAAUCAGUUUAAAUUAAUGUAAAUCCAUUAAACUAAAUAAUACUGUUAUUAUAAAUUUAUAAUUCGUCUAAUUUCUUUUUCAUAUCUAAUUUUGAUAAUUUUUCAAAAAAAUAAAAACCCAAAAAUUUAAAUACUUACAUAAAUAUAAAAUAAAUUAAUAAUUUAUUAACUAUUACACCUCAAAUAAUUUGUCAAGCUAGUAGUUAAUCCUCUACAAAAAAAACUUUUAGUUACCGCAUAGAAGUUUUUUCAACAUUGAAGAUUGAAGAAACUUUAAUGUAAAUAGUCGGAACAAAAAAUCAGGAAGUGUUGUAUUGCCUUUUUCACUUGAAGCCCUGAAGUACCCACUUCAAAAACCUGUAUUCAGCACUUUGAAAUUAUAGAAAAAUUUGAGUUAUCUAGAGCACUGAAGUGCUUAUUUCAAAAAAGCUGCAUUUUGCACUUUUAUGCUCUAGGUAAUCUGAAUCUGUUUAGACUUUAGUGUAUGAGGUCCAUAAGUACUAGGUUUAUAGGAGAUAGGAGACCACUAUAUAUAUAUAUAUCUUGUGUUUCCUCUAAACCUAAGUAGCAGUUGAAAUAGAAAGCAAUCUGAUAUGUUCUUUUUGUAGACAAAUUUAUGUAAAUCAUCCAUUAAUAAAAGUCUUUCUUUGCUCCGUAGAAGUAGCCUAUUAGUGAACCACGUUAAAUCUUGUGUUCUUUUUGUUUAUUGUGUUUAUCCAUAUGUGUGUUCCGCAUCUGUUCUUCUUGCAUCCGUCACAACAAACUGGUAUCAUAGCUUCAGGUAUUUAAUCUGGUGAGAAGAUGUAUGGGAUAAAUGCGAAGAUAGACAAGUUUGCAGGAAUGAAUAGCUUUAGUCUCUGGCAGAUAAAUAUGCAAGCUUUGUUGAAGCAACAAGGCAACUGAGCACUUUUGUCAGGGAAGAAGACUGAUUCUGCUGAAAUGGAGGUUUUGGAACAGAAGGCAUUCUCAACAAUUUUGUUGUAUCUAGCAGACGAAAUUAUUGUCGAAGUUUCGGAUGAGAACUCGGCUGCUAGUUUGUUGCAGAAGUUAGAGAGCUUGUACAUGAUCAGGGCCGGCUCAAUGGUGUCAUGGGCCAUGAGCCAAUUUUUUUUUUUAAUUUCCAAACUAUUAUUUUUCUUUAAAAAAUCUGAUAGAUAUAUGUUUUUUUUUAAAUACCAGAAGUAUUUUUAAAAAUAAAUCUAUGGAAAUAAAAAAAUACUUUCAUAUAAAAAAGUUUGGGCCAUUUUUCUUAUUUUUAAUAUGAAAAUACAUGUAUUUUUUAAAAAAAUUGGGCCCUUAUCUAUUAAGAAAUAGGGGGACAAUUCGUUGGGCCUGGGGCGGUGGUACCGCCCGUCCCCCCUAUUAAGCCGGCCCUGUACAUGACAAAGUCUCUAACGAGCAAGCUAAUUUUGAAGCAACAUCUCUUCUCUCUGAGAAUGCAUGAAGGUAUGGACCUUCGUGACCAUCUUGACAGAUUAAAUUCAAUAGUAUUGGAGCUGCGUAAUAUUGAUGUUAAGGUGGAGGAUGAAGACGCUGCACUAAUCAUGUUGGUAUCUUUGUCGAACUCCUUCGAGAACUUCGUGCAAUCGUUCAUUGUUGGUAAGGUUACAGUGAAACUGGAAGACGUUAGGUCAGCUCUUCGUACCAGGGAAUUGUUCCAUAAAGCAUCGAGCUUAGAGACAUAUAGUCAGGCUUCCAGAUUAUUUAUCAGUGGUGGAAAGGGCCAUGGAAAUAAAAAGAAGUUGAUAGCUAAAAGACCAUUUCAUAGGGGUCCAAGAGAUUUUACAAUCACUGCAAAGAAAAGGGACACUGAAAAUCAAAUAGUCCAAAGAGGAAGCAACCUUCUGGGUAUGCUGCGGUAGCAGAGCAUAAAGCAGCGUCUGAUGACGACAUUUCUCUUGUUGCACAUGAACACACACAUUCUUCUGAUGUAUGGGUUAUGGAUACAUGAGCAUCCUACCAUAUGACACCGAGGAGAGAGUGGUUUGAAGAGUACUUUGAGGUACCUGACGGCAAUAUUAAGAUGGCAAAUGAUAUUGUCUGCAAGAUUGCUGGAAUCGGCUUGAUCAAGCUCAGGUCAAAUGAUGGUAGAUUCUGCACAUUGAACGAGGUCAGGCAUGUUCCGUCAAUGACGAAGAACUUGAUAUCUAUGAGUCUGUUGGACAAUAAAGAUUUCAAGUAUAUGGGUGGCGAUGGAGUUUAAAUGUCUACAGAGGUUCAGAUGUGAUUCUGAAGGGUUUCAUGCACGGUACUCUGUAUUUGCUUAUGGGUUCUAUAGUGACUGGUUCAGCAAAUGUUGCAACGCAAGAGGUUCGCGAAGAAGAUAUGACUAAGCUAUGGCAUAUGAGGUUUGGGCAUAUGAGUGAACGUGGGAAGCAGAUUUUUUGAAGAAAGAUUUUCUAUGUGGUCACAAGACCAAGAGUCUAGAGUUCUGUGACCACUGUGUUUUUGAGAAACUUCACAAGAAGAGAUUCCCUAAGGUGAUUCAUAGGAAAAAGGCCACGUUGGACUACAUCCAUGGAGAUUGUCGGGGUUCCUCCAGAGUUGAAUCGCUGAAAGGUCACAGAUAUUUUAUGUCUAUGAUUGAUGACUAUUCGAGGAAGACUUGGAUAUUCUUUAUGGAGCACAAAAGUGAAGUUUUCGAUCGUCUUAGGGAGUGGAAAGCACUGGUGGAGAAUCAAACAUGGAAGAAGAUCAAGAGCCUUCAUACUGAUAAUGUAGAGUUUUGUUCAUCAGAUUUCAAUCAGUUUUGUAAAGAUGCAUGGAUUGCUAGGCAUCUUACAGGCAGGGAAACACCACAACAGAAUGGUGUAGCUGAACGGAUGAGUCAGACAUUGCUGGAGAGAGCGAGGUGCAUGCUCUCUAAUGAAGGAUUAGCAAAACGGUUUUGGCCUGAAGCUGUGAACAUAGCUUGCUACUUGAUUAAUCUCGGGUGUGGUCAGGUAAAUUUGCUGAUUAUUCAAUUCUGAGAGUUUUUAGUUGCACUAUUAACUAUCAUGUGAAUGACGGUAAACUUGAGUCGAGAGCAAAGAAGAAAGUAUUUAUGGGCUACAGUGACAGAGUCAAGGGAUAUAGGGUUUGGUCUCCAUAAGAAAACUGAAUGGUUCUAAGCAGAAACAUUGUCUUUGAUGAAAGUUCCAUGAUUAGAAGCCAAGCAGAGUUCAGUUCUGAAGCAGAGAAGGGUAGCAAUGAUAAACAGGUAGAGCUGCAGGAUGAUCAUAAAGUGGUUGAUCUGUCAAACCAUAUAGAAAAUCAAGAGGAGCAAGCAGAAGAUAUUAAGACAGAAGCUCAACCACCUGAGGCUACAAGACGUAGCAUCGCUAAAGAUCGACAAAGAAGGGUCGACGUCAGACCACAAGAGAGAUAUCGUUUUGAGGAUAUGGUGGGUUAUGCACUACAAGUUACAUAGGAAGUGGAUACUUAUGAGUCAUCCACUUAUAGAAAAGUUGUUUCUAGUCCCGAGUCUGAGAAAUGGCAUGCUGCAAUAGGAGACGAAAUGGAGUCUCCUGAGAAGAAUCAUACAUGGGAUAUGGUCACAUUACCAUCAGGCAGAAAGGUGGUUACUUGUAAUUGGGUCUAUAAGAUCAAAGAUGGAGUUACACGGGCAGAAGGAGUUAAAUAUAAGGUCGAAUUGUUGCAAGAAGUUUUAUUCAGAGAGAGGGAGUAGACUACAAUAAGAUCUUCUCACCAGUGGUUAGACAUUCUUCCAUCAGAGUGUUGCUAGCAAUAGUGGUGCGUCAGGACUUGGAGCUUAGGCAACUUGAUGUGAAAACUGUUUUUCUUCAUGGAGAAUUACUAGAGCUUCACUUGCGCAUCCGCGCGGAUGUUGGCUCUUACAUUUUUAUACAUUAAUAUAUUAUUUAUGGUUUAUUUUAUAUAUUUUAAAUGUGCCGCCAUAUAACUAAUUGUAUUCAAAAGACUCAGACCAAAUUGAAUAUGGUUAUUUUUGGUACAAAUAACCAAACUCGUUUCAGGUACAUUGGUUAUUUGGAUAUUUUUAGGUUUUUAUACUUUCAAAUCGAACUCAUCCAGACCCGGAAGACCCAACUCGAAAACCACACAUAAUUUAUAAUAUCCAAGUGGGACUUAAUUUUAAAACCCAAAAAAAACUCGAUACCCGGAAGAAAAAAUCCAUACCGUAAUGGAUAUCUGAAUGUCAAUGCCUAAUUGACUCAACAAAUUAAAAAAACACUUUCUAUGAAUUUGGUUAAAUUAAGUGAAAUAGAAAACUUUAUUGUGCAAAAUAUUUGGUUAUAUGGAGUAAAAUAUUAAGUGAUAAUAAAUUUAAUAUUUUUUAUUAUUUUGAUUUAAAUUAUUAUUUUGUUCACAUAAACUAUGUAUUUGAAUUAUGUGUUUGGCUACGUAGAUUUCACCGAUUGAAACUAAGAUAAAUUUUUUUUAGUAAAAUAGACAAAACAUAAAUUUUAACCGUAUGCAAAACUCGGUUGUUUUACAUUUUGAUUUUUAUAAUCGGUGCAAAGUUAAUGUUGAUUAACUAAUAAAUAAAAAUAUUCUCUAUUAUUAUUAUGGUAAUAUAAUUAAUGAUGUAAUGUAUUGUUAAGGUAAUAUAAUUAUUGAAGUUGUUAAAUUGAUUGAAAAUUGAAUGAUAAUUAGUGUAAUAACUUGUCGAAAAGAAGGUUAAUUCUAUUUGUACUUCAAUUUUAAUAAUAUAGACUAGAGCUUGAUUCGCGCACCCUUAAAGAUAUUUAUUUUAACAGAAUAUACAUAUGAAAAUCUUUACAAUAUAAAAAUGUAAUGGUUACCCAAACAUAAAAAAAUUACGUUUUAUAAUUUAUAUCAAGAAAAAAGUUUACGUUUAUUUCUAAAGUAACUAUUUUUCCUAUUUUACCUUUUAAUUAUCGUGUAUAUAUAUAUAGAUUUAUUUAUUUUUUUAUAUAGCCUACUUAUAGAUAUAGAUAUAAAAUGUAUCAAAAGAACCAAUUUAUACAUUUUAUUCAAAAUUUAUGGAGAAUUUUCAUGAUUAGGGUUAACCUACCUUGAAGUAUUCAAAAUAAGUUUCUAUUUACUCUAUUUCUUUUCCGUAACCUUUAAGUAUUCUAGAUCUAUAGAAUGUCUUCAACUGAUUUUCAUGGGGAGCAGUAUAUAGAUGGAUCCUUUUUGUCGGUGCUUCGCAUGUGCAUCAGGUACGUUUGCUCAGGGUCCAAAAAAUUAAGAAAAAAAAUAAUUAAUAUUGAGGGUCUUUUUUACAUAGAUCUAGGAUUCUUUAUACAAAUUAUUACUUCUGUUUUUUUUUUUUUGAAAAUUGGCUUUCAAAAUUAAGAGCAAAAAUAAAAAACGUUUACAAGACCAUUAAAGUCUUAAGUGAGCAAUACCCAAUAGUGCAACUAAUAGUUUAGAACUUUCUUUAGCCCUAAACCCAAUAAGCCCAUUUGAUGGAGAAAGGUUAACGACUUCUGGUAUUUUCCAGCGGAACAGAGAUGAUCGACGAUCAUACAGAGGAGAGCAGUCGCAAGUGAGAUGGAUGAGAGAUGAGGCUUCAUGCAAGACGGAACCAUGUCUGCAUCAUACUAGAAGAUAGGCGUGGGUUCGACUCUCUGAAACUUUGAAUCCUGUUUCUGAUUUGUAAAUCUACAACCCGGAAGAGGCGAUCAGCAGAACGAAAAGAGUUGGAAUGCAGUCUGGCGUUCCUUUCAUUCCAGGUCCAGUAUAUUGUUGACUGCCAUGCCAGUAGGGUGAGUAAUCGAAGUGCCCUUGAACCUCUACUAGUUGGUAAAGUAAUCAUCUGAUUAAGCGCGUCCGGCCAGUUGCGUGAGGGUGUAAGGGAGCAUCUUCUGGAGCUUUUCAACCACAAGUUAUAGGCAAAUUCACACUCAAAAUAGAGAUGAUUACGAGUUUCGGGGAAGCUGUUACACAGUAAGCAGACAGGCGGAACCUGAAGGCCCCAACGUAGAAGACGAUCCCGUGUUGGGCAGCUAUCCAAAACUACUAGCCAAGUGUGAAAAUUAUGUCGGGGAAUUCCGUAGGAGGUCCACACCGCAGUCGCCCAAUUUACCUCAUCAUGCGCCCCUCUCAGGUAAUGAUACACUUCACCAGUAGAGAACUUGCUAGAGAUCCUUCCUUCUAUCUCCCAUUCAAAGUAGUCUGGCUCAGUUGUGAGGUUGACUGUAGUUAAAUGUGCUUGAAGUUGUAGCUGUUGCUCUGAUCUUGCAGGUGGAAGACGCCAUGAUCCAUUACGGAAUAGUGAGGCCACUGUUGCUUGUUGAGGAAUGCCUAACCUUGAUGAUUGAGCGUUCAGCAGUGUAGCAACAUUUCCUAGGGGGGACCAGUUGUCAUGCCAAAAUCUAGCAGAUAGUCCAUUCUCCAAUCGCAGUUUAACCAAUGGGUAGACAACAUCUUUAAGUUUGAGGAUCUUGUUUGCGAGCCAAGAGAAUGAAACCUUUGGCUUUGUAGUCCAGUAGUUGUGGAUCGAUCCCUUGAGUACAACUUCUCUGAACCAAGCCACCCACAUUGAUCUUGAUCUAAAGAACAGAAGCCACACUAGUUUCAGACAGCAUGCUUUGUUCCAUGUAUGAAGAUCCUUCACGCCGAGACCUCAUUGCUGUGUUGUUAGGACCACUGUCUCCCAUGCGACCCAGGAUGAAAACUUCUUUUUGAUUUGAUGUAUCAGGGGCUCACAAGUGACGAAGUUGAGCUUUCUGGAGUUCAAGGGGACGCCUAGAUAACGAACAGGGAGUGUGCCACAGAUCAUACCCGUUGAAGCCUGAAUGGUAUCCACUUCUUGGUCUGUCAUACCUGAGGCAUAGAAGCUUGUUUUCUGCAUACUGAUCGCCAGUCCUGAUCUUUUCUCGAAUUCCUUCAGGACUUGCAGCACUUGUUGGACCGAGUGGAGGGAACCGUCAAUGAAGAUCAGUAGAUCGUCAGCGAAAGAGAGGUGAGUCAUCUUCAUAGACUUGCAGUUUGAGUGAUACUUUAUCUUUUCCUGAGCUGCUGUGGAGUUAAGCAUGAAUGAUAGACAGUUCAUAGCUAUUACAAAGAGAUAAGGGGAGAGGGGGUCUCCUUGUCUCAAACCUCUGCUUCCUUUGAAGUACCCGUUUACAGUUCCAUUAUAACCGACCAUGAAGCUUGUUUUGCAGAUGCAAGCUUUAAGCAGUUUGACGAAAUGAGGAGGAAGUCCUAAGCUUUCCAGACAUGAGAAGAGGAAAUUCCAUGAAAGUGUAUUAAAAGCCUUCCCUAUGUCCACUUUAAUGGUAAUCCUCGGGGUCCCUUUGUUCUUGUGAUACCCAUAUACGAGCUCGCUAGCUAGUAUAGUAUUUUCCACCAACAGUCGGUCUUUAACAAAUGCAGUUUGACACGGGAGUAUUAAACCUUGUAGAAUUGGCUUAAUCCUUGCAACGAGAAGUCUGGAGAUUACUUUGUAGAUAGUGUUUAGGCAUGAUAUAGGUCGGUAGUCCGUGAUUUUUGUAGCUCCUGGGAACUUUAGGGACGGGUGAUAGAAUGGUUGCAUUCGUCGUCGCUGGCAGGAACCCCAUCUCAAAGAAAUUUGUGAUAGAAACUAUCACCUCUUUACCCACAGUUUCCCAAGCAUGUUUAAAAAAUCCAGAAGUCAAUCCGUCCGGCCCUGGGACUUUGUUAGGAUUUAACUUGAAGAAAAGAGCCUUUAUAUCCUCUACUGUUGGGACUGAAAGCAUAACUUGUGUUUGUUGCAGUGUACAUUGGAAAUUCAUGAGGUUGUGAAACCAUUGAUGAGGAGAGGCCAGCAUUGGUCGGUAGCCAUUUUCUGGCCCGAGGAUUGAUUUAAAAUGAGAAACAGCCAGCUUGCUCAUUUCCACAGGGUCAGUCAUCAGUACUCCAUCAGCAGCUAGGAAGCAGCGAAUGGCAUUAUAGCUUGCUCUUACUUGACACAUUCGGUGGAAGAAAAGUGUGUUUAAAUCUCCUUCUCGAAGCCAGUUUAUUCAAGAUUUCUGUCUCAAAUAGCUCUCUUCGAUCUCUCGCAGGAAGAGCCACUUCUGGUGAAGGUCCUUUUCUUCUUGGAACAGCUGCGGAGUUGGUGUUUGAAGGGCUUGCACCUGCACACGUUGAAGUAAACUGUAAGUUUCGCUCACUCUCUCUUGAAUUUUAGAAAAAAUCUCUCUGUUUAAAGUUUUUAGAUCUUUUUUGAUGUUCUUUAGUUUCCAACAAAGUUGUGCUAGAGUCGAGCUUGUGCUUCCGGCCUGAACCCACGUGUCUGAUACAACCUUCAGAAAGUCUGGGUGUUUGGUUAGAUAGUUUUGGAAUUUGAAGGGCUUUGUUCCAGUGGAAGGGAGGCUAUAGGCUAGGUCUACAAUGCAGGGGCUAUGGUCGGAGAACAGAGGGGGAGGAAAGAGGCGUGGGCAUGAGGAUGGGUAGAUAUGGUUCGCGAAUUGACGAGGAGACGAUCAAGCUUUUUCCCCACCGGCUUUACGGGUUGCUUAUUGGACCAGGAGUGUGAGGGUCCGUUAAAGCGCAGGUCAAACACACCACCUUGCAACAAGCAGUCUUGAAACUGGUACAUCAAGCUAUCAUGAACAACUACAGAUGGAGAAGAGUGUUCAUGUGGAUGUAGGAUUUGGUUGAAGUCACCACCAAUCAUCCACUGAUUGUUGUCCAUAUCUAGGGUCGCUUGGAGAUGUAGAAGCUCAGCCCAAAGAUCCACUCUUUCAUCACUGAGAUUUGAAGCAUAGACAGCAGUGUAAUAAAUGGAAUCUUGAUUGGGCAGAGAGAGCGUUACAGUCAUUGACUGGCUGGACUGAUGCACUAUCUGAAGCUUGAGGGGGUCUUUCCAUAUCAAAAUGAUUCUUCCGUCUUCGUCAGAAGAGUGGUUAGAGAUAUAGUUCCAGGUAUUGCAGAGAAUGGACAUUAGGGGAGCCAAAGAAAGUUCUUUGAUAUGAGUUUCUAAUAAAGCACCAAAAAGAGGCUUAUGGGUAAAAAGCCAAGAAAUAAAAUUAUGAUGUUUUCUCGGGUCAUUUAGGCCACGAGUGUUCCAAAAAAAGAGCUUGACACUCAUUAGUUAAAAAAGGUGGGGGGGGGGGGUCACCACCAUGAGAGAUGGCUUCCUAGUUAACAAAAGAUGUAAUAGGGACAAUUUUUGAAAUGGGAAGGUCACCACCAUGAGAGAUGGCUUCCUGGAUAGCAAGAGAGGUUGUGGGGUCAGUGUUUAUACAAGGAGGAGGCAUGGAGGAUGAUUGGUCAGAAUGCGGAAAUGAGUUGAUUUCUGUGGUUGAAAGCUGUGGAAGUGGGGGAGGGGAAGGGGAAUUUUUUUCUGUGGCUGGAGGUAGUUUGAGGACUGUUAGCGAGGCUAUGUCAGAGCUUGGGAGUACAAAAGGUGAGGGAGAACGAGAGAAAAAAAGAUUGGGGUUUUGGUUAGAGGUGUUUGGCGGGGAGGGUGUUGGUGAAGAUCGACAUCUUUUGAGUGAAGGCCUAGGGGUUGGAUCAGGAGAGGCCAAGGCGUAAUUUUCCAGAAAUGGGGUAAGUUGUUUGUCUACUUCCAUUGCAUCAGCAAGUGGAGGGCUUGAGGUGGCAGUAGGCAGGUCCAUAGGCAGUGAAGAUCAGAACUUGUUGCCAAGGAUUGGAGCAAACUUUUGAGGAGUUGGGGUGGGCUUAGAGUUUUUCUUUUUGGGCAAGGUUUUUUUGGUUGAUUAGGUUGAGUUGAUCGAAGGAUCAAUUGGUUUUUUUUCCUUGGGCUUUAGUUUGAGUUUCCGGGGGAUCAUUUGGAGGAGUGUAGGUGAGGCAAUUACGGACAAUGUGUCCAAGCUCAUGGCAAUGAGAGCAAGUAGGAGGAACCCAUGGAUAAUGAACAUUUACUUCAACAACUUCUCCACUCUCUCAUUCAAACUCAACAACUGGUGGCAGAGGCAAGGUGAGGUUAACCUCGACUUUAACAUGAGAAACCGUCAAGCUAACAAGAUUCUUUGUGAAGUCAUCUGUCUCUUUGGGAUCUCCAACAAGUACAGCAACUAGACUUAACCCUUCUUCAUGCCUGAGGUCUAAUGGUACCCCAAUAAGAUGAGCCCAGAUUCUUAUAGCUUUGAGAGACGGAGUAGAAGCAGAGUGCUGUGAGGACCAUUGCGAUGUGUGGAAGAUUGAAUCUCCCACAUACCAGAUGUUCUUCUCUAGGAUUUUUUGCCUCAGGUAAUCACUUGGGAUCCUUACAAUUGCAGAUCGGUUGAGGGGGUUGUUGUGGAUUUCUAGUCUUUUCCCUUUCCCCCACAUAUGGUUGAAAACACUUUGGAUUUGAUUGAAAGGAGGCGCUUUUCCAUUGAAGUAACAAAUGAUGAAAUAUUUGUGCAUCUCUGCUCCUUUUUGGAAAACUGAGUCUAGGAUGAGCACUCUUGGUCUUCCCGAAGGUGCGAGAGUGACAGGAGCCAAGCGUCUCAUAGUCUUAUUCUCAGAAGCCCUUAUUUUUCAACAAGGGAAGGAGGAUCGGGAAGAAGAGAAUGUGUGGUGGAGCUGAGGGGUUCUACAAGCGGGGAGGUGGUUUGAGGAGGUGGAAUGGUAGUUUGAGUUGGUGGAAUGGGAGGGUUUUCAGUUGAGGCUUGUAACUGUAGUUGGGCGGGAAGUGACGAGGCUUUGUUUGUUUGAGUCGGUGUGGAGUGUUUAGGUUCAAGGAUUUUGAAAUCUAGGUUAUUGUUUUCUUGCUGGGAACCAGAGACAUUACUUUGAACAGUGAUGUUUUCAGAUCUAGGAAAAUAUUUUCUUCUAGAUUCAAUUACAGGUUUCUUUGCGUUUGCAGGAGCCACAGGGGAGGCACCAGUUGAGGGGAGAAGCUGUUGCGUCGAUGCAGCAGCAGUUAGUGGGAGAGUCGGGGUCCUUGUCUCUCUUUUCUGAGAAGAGAAUGACUUAGAACCAGUUGAAAAAACAGAGGAGGGGUGUGGAAAUUGGAUUGGAGAUAGAGGGGAGGCUGGAUCCGGUGGGUCAGGUGGGAUAGGGGGCGGAGGGAUAGGCUCACUGGAGGUGAACGACGGUGGGUUCAGGGCAGAAGCCUUGCCGGGCACCUUCCAAGCAUUCUUCAUUGGGAACUGCGCCAGAGAGAGUUUGACUUUUUGUUUCGUUUUUUUAAUUAUUACUUCUGUUGCUCAUGUAAAAGAAUAAAACUUGUACAGAGUACACCCAAAAAUUAAAUCGGGCCUGACGUGUAUAUAAGGCAACAUUAUCGGCAAAAUGUUUCCUUCGGUGUAUAUCUAGCUAAUGGCUUCGAUUGGCCGACUCUUUGAUAAAUGGAAAAACUGAAAAAAUCAUAAACAAAAAUUCAUUUGAAAAAAUGAAUAAAAAAAUAUAAUUUUUUGUUCAUUUUGCUUCCUCAAAAUUGAAAAAGAAUUUUUUUCUUCAUAAAUUUAUUUUUUCAUGAGGAAUUAAAAGAAAUAGUAUGAGACUUAUUUGUUAAUAAUUUGACCAAAAGUUCAACUUAAUUAGUAUAAAUUUGAGGAACCAAAAAUUUACCAUAAUAUUUUCCUAUAAUUUGGUCACCAGUGAGAGUUAAUAUAAUACUAUUAAAAAUAAUAUAAUUAUUUCAAAAAUUAAAACAUAAAAGAGCGAACAAGUAAAAUAAAUACAAAUGUCAUUAGAGUAUACUAAAAGAUUGUUAAAAGUUGUCUGCACCAAAUCGAUCCUCGCUGUUCCACUCCACUUUCUUUUUAAUAUAAAUUAAAAUAAUCAUUCGGAACUUGUCUUCCUCUCUCUGUAGGAGAAGCUCUCAGCUUCUAUUACACUAUUUACCCAUUUUCUGAACUAUCACUAUUUACUUUUUGUAAAGGGAUAUAAAGUAUACUUUAGAGAGUAAUGCGUAUGUCAUAUUCGCAUACCGAGACGUUACACUAAGCUAUUUACGGAUGAAUACGUUUUCUUACAAAGAGUUUCUUCCAAAAUUAAAACUCAUUUUUUCAUGUCUUAUUCGGCGAAAAUCCACAAUAGAACCGAACUUUUUGAAACCACGAUCAAACAAAUGUUAAUGACUUUUGGAACUCACAUGCAUGUUGACACAUCAAAGAGUUAAUUUUGUAAUCUCAGCAAUGCCUUAACCUUAUGCUUCACACAUUCUUUUUUAUCUUGUUUAUUCUAACCGUAACUUUUUUCGUUUAAUUUGUUAUAUUUGUUUUCAAUAUAAAAGAGUCACGUUUUUUUUUUGCAAAGCGUUACAUCUGCAGACAAAGAAAACAUGGACGAGAAAUAGAAAUAAAAGAGAGUAACACAGUUUUUGUUAAAAAAUUUGGUAAAGAGUUACGUACUUAGAUGAAUGUUAAUAGUUCGAUGACAAUUUGUAAGUAAAUCUUGUUUUAUUCAAUUUUAAAUUAAAAUCUCAAAUUAAUGAAUAAUCAAACUCAACAGAUAAUAUAUAUAUAAACAUACAAUAUAAGAAAAAGUUGAUUAAACUAUAAAAUAAUAAUGACUCAUUACCCAUAAUCUCCUUUUAUUAGAAUUGUUUAUUCGCGAGUGAUACAAAACGUUGCUCGACCAUGUGUAUAUAUAUACGGUUGCUUCUUAUGACAUAUAUUCUCAACCAACAAAACAAAACCUUUAAACAGGAUUACAUACACCUGAAACAACAUAAAAAUGAAACCUACUGAACAAAAAACUCCGAAGCUUGUUGAGACAUCACCAAACAUAUCGACAGAUUCAUCAGCAUCCGAGAAAGGAGAAGCAACAAGUCAACAACAAUCCAACAAUGGCUAUGCACUCACAGUUGACGAGGUAAUCGAGCAACACAUCGGAGUACUAGGGUUUGCUCAGAUCGUGCAUGCUCUUUUGGUCUCUAUUGCUUGGACCUUCGAUGCUCAGUCCACUCUUAUAUCAAUUUUCUCCGACGCUAAGCCCGCUGCGAGGCUUCUCACAACGGGAGCCAUCGUGGAAGGCUCGAUGUUGUGUGGACUGUCCACCGGAGAGUGGGAAUGGGUUGGAGGAAAGAGCGACACUAUUAUUUCAGAGUGGAAUCUUAUAUGCGAACAUAAGUUUCUUGUUGCUCUACCAUCCACUCUAUUCUUCAUCGGAUCUCUUUUCGGUACGAAUUUAAUCUUUCCGAUUUUUUAAUAUAUAUGACGUUUUAGAAGACAUUUUUAAUUCUAAAUUAGAUAACGUUUUUAUUUUUCAUGUACAAGUUAAAUUAUUUUUGUGCGAUAUAUUCUAGGACAAAUCUCUAAAAUAGCACAUUUCUAAGUUUAUAUCACAAAAAUAGCACUCAAAAACUAAAAUGACCAAAAUAGCACCUUUCUAAUUUUAUCCUUUGAAAAUUUUAAUUUUUUUAUUUUUCAAAAUUUGAAAUCUUAUCCCCAAAACCUCAUUUCUCACUCUAAACCCUAAUCCCCUAAACUCUAAACCCUAAACCCUAAACCCUAAANNNNNNNNNNNNNNNNNNNNNNNNNNNNNNNNNNNNNNNNNNNNNNNNNNNNNNNNNNNNNNNNNNNNNNNNNNNNNNNNNNNNNNNNNNNNNNNNNNNNNNNNNNNNNNNNNNNNNNNNNNNNNNNNNNNNNNNNNNNNNNNNNNNNNNNNNNNNNNNNNNNNNNNNNNNNNNNNNNNNNNNNNNNNNNNNNNNNNNNNNNNNNUAUAUAUAUUAAUAUUAUUUUUUAUUUAUUUUAAGGAUCCAAAUCCGGAUCCGGAUAUCCGCCGGAUAUUAUAAUUUUUAGAAGGAUAUCCGACACCCGGAUAUCCGCGAACCCCGGAUCCGGAUAAGGAUAGUAAAAUUAUGGAUCCGCCGGAUAAGGAUCCGGAUCCGGAUAUCUUAAAAUUGUCCGGAUACCCGAUCCGUCCCAGGCCUAGUGUGUACAGGCAUAAAUCGUCAACUAAUAAAAUAAAAAACAGAGAAAAUGUUAUACACUGACUUGUUUCAGUUUGAUUGGUUUCUGUGUCCGGCCCUAAAAUCUUGAACACUGUUUACAUGAUUCUCAUGUUGCCUUCUUUUAUUAUCCCAACAGGUUCUGGAGUUUAUGGAUAUCUUGCUGAUUCCUGGUUCGGUCGGAAAAAGACACUUCUUAUCUCUUGUCUAUUAACGUUUGUCACAGCUUUAGCGAUCUCUUUUUCUCCAAACAUAUGGGUUUACGCGUUCUUGCGUUUUGCCAACGGAUUCUUUAAAUCAGGAAUCGGUUCUUGUUGUAUCGUGCUUGCUACAGAGGUCGUCGGUAAAAAAUGGCGUGGGCAAGUAGGGCAAUUCGGUUUCUUCUUCUUCACGUUAGGGUUUCUAUCUCUACCACUCAUGGGUUACUUGGAGAGAAAGUCAUGGAGAAACCUUUACCGAAUCACAUCCCUUCUUCCUCUUGGAUACGCUGUUUUUCUCUUGCCAUUUGCCUAUGAGUCCCCUCGAUGGCUUCUUGUUAAAGGACGUAACAAAGAAGCCAUGGUGGUCUUGAAGAAACUC
RNAcentral lists this long non-coding RNA (15549 nucleotides) under Brassica napus (rape). RNAcentral's name for it is "long non-coding RNA (BNAP_LNC024498)". Lineage: Eukaryota; Viridiplantae; Streptophyta; Magnoliopsida; Brassicales; Brassicaceae. The record is from RNAcentral.